This 2001-nucleotide ribosomal RNA is filed under the name Triticum aestivum (bread wheat). RNAcentral's name for it is "partial small subunit ribosomal RNA". The record is from RNAcentral. Lineage: Eukaryota; Viridiplantae; Streptophyta; Magnoliopsida; Poales; Poaceae.
AUGGCGCCACACCAGCGGGGCGCCGUGGGAGGGAAGGAGGAGAAAGCCCGGCUCCUGGAUGUCGACGAGAUCGUCGAGGCGCCAGGAGCCGCGCGUGGCCGCGUGCCGGUGCCGCCGUGGUCGGAGCAGCUGACAGCGCGCGGCCUGGUUGUGAGCGUGGCCGUCGGAACCAUGUACAGCGUCAUCGUCAUGAAGCUGAACCUCACCACGGGUCUCAACCCUACUCUCAACGUCUCCGCCGCGCUCAUCUCCUUCGUCAUGCUCCGCGGGUGGACGCAGGCCCUCGCCCGCCUCGGCAUCCCCGUCAAACCGCUUACGAGGCAGGAGAACACCGUUGUCCAGACCUGCGCCGUCGCCUGCUACAGCGUCGGCGCUGCAGGAGGGUUUGGGUCCUACCUGCUUGGGCUCAACAAGAAGACCUACGAAAUGUCGGGAGUGGAUAUGGAAGGCAACGUGGGGCACAAGGAGCCUGGCCUUGCGUGGAUGAUCGGUUUCCUCCUCGCCGUGAGCUUCGUAGGCAUUCUUGCGCUCGUCCCUCUAAGGAAGAUUUUGGUAAUUGACUACAAGUUAAUUCACCCAAGCGGGACAGCAACCGCCGUGCUUAUAAAUGGAUUUCAUGCAGCUCAGGAAGAUCAACUGGCAAAGAUGCAAGUGAAAGGAUUUACAAAAUACUUUACAAUCAGUUUCUUUUGGAGCGUGUUCCAGUGGUUCUUCUCUGGUGGAGAUAAUUGCGGGUUUUCGCAGUUUCCCACUCUUGGACUACGAGCUUGGAAACAUACAUUCUUCUUCUAUUUCAACCUCACAUAUGUUGGCGCUGGGAUGAUUUGUCCGUACCUUAUCAAUGCGUCUCUACUUCUCGGUUCCGUCCUGUCUUGGGGUGUAAUGUGGCCACUGAUAGCUGGUUUGAAAGGGGACUGGUAUCCGGCAGAUUUACCAGAAAGCAGCAUGAGAAGCCUGCAAGGAUACAAGGCCUUCAUCUGUGUAGCUCUGAUCCUAGGGGACGGCGUAUACAAUUUUACCAAGAUUUUUGUGACCACAAUUAAGAGUCUAGUUGCAAAAUCAUCAACACAGAAGAAUGAAAAGAUAGAGCAAGAUAUCGAUGACAUUCAGCGUAGUGAAGUUUUUGCAAGAGACAGUCUCCCUAACUGGCUGGCCUGCUGUGGUUACGUUGUAUUAGCAAUUGCAGCAGCAAUCACCGUUACCUUGAUGUUCCCUGAGAUGAAGUGGUACUAUGCAGUUAUGGCCUACGUUUUGGCUCCUGCCCUCGGUUUCUCCAAUGCCUAUGGAGCCGGCCUUACUGACAUCAACAUGGCCGCAAAUUAUGGCAAGAUUGCGCUACUCGUUCUUGCGGCCACAGCUGGAAAGGAUUCUGGCGUUGUCGCUGGCCUGGUAGGCUGCAGUAUGGUGAAAUGCUUGACGUCGAUAUCUGCCGAUCUGAUGCAGGAUUUCAAAACUGGACAUCUUACAUUGACCUCGCCAAGAUCAAUGCUUAUUGCUCAGAUCAUUGGAACCGCCAUGGGGUGUGUUAUCUCACCACUGACAUUCUUUGUGUUCUACAGAGCCUUUGACAUAGGCAACCAAGAAGGGCCCUGGAAGGCGCCGUAUGCUCUAAUAUACCGGAACAUUGCGAUUCUUGGAGUCGAAGGCUUCUCGGCUCUGCCCAUGCAUUGCUUGAAGCUGUGCUAUGGUUUCUUUGGCUUUGCUGUGGCCGCCAACCUUAUGAGGGACUUCCUUCCUUCCAAGUAUGCUAGAUGGGUUCCGCUACCAAUGGCAAUGGGAUUUCCUUUCCUUGCAGGCGCGAGCUUUGCCAUUGACAUGUGUGUCGGGAGCUUGAUAGUCUAUGUAUGGAACAAGAUUGAUAGACGUAAUGCGGUACCAAUGGUGCCAGCAGUUGCAUCUGGUUUGAUAUGUGGGGAUGGUCUUUGGAUCUUCCCUGCAUCCUUACUUGCACUGGCCAAGGUCAAUCCACCAAUGUGCAUGGCAUUUGCUUCUACACACUAA